This 778-nucleotide ribosomal RNA is filed under the name uncultured Neocallimastigales. RNAcentral's name for it is "partial large subunit ribosomal RNA". It matches the Rfam family "Eukaryotic large subunit ribosomal RNA", at positions 27 to 627 of the family's 3401-position model. The record is from RNAcentral. Lineage: Eukaryota; Fungi; Neocallimastigomycota; Neocallimastigomycetes; Neocallimastigales.
GUCUAUAUACGUAUAGCAUAUCAAUAAGCGGAGGAAAAGAAACUAACUAGGAUUCCCUUAGUAACGGCGAGUGAAGCGGGAAGAGCUCAAAUUUGAAAUCUUCAAGGUUCUACCUUGACGAAUUGUAGUUUAAAGAAGUGUUUUCUGUUGGAAUUUUGGUAAAAGUUCUUUGGAAAUAGGACAUCAAUAGAGGGUGAGAAUCCCGUAUUUGACCAUUAUUUCCAACUUUGUGAUACACUUUCAAAGAGUCGGAUUGUUUGGGAAUGCAGUCCAAAAUGGGUGGUAAAUUUCAUCUAAAGCUAAAUACUGGCGAGAGACCGAUAGCGAACAAGUACCGUGAGGGAAAGAUGAAAAGAACUUUGAAAAGAGAGUUAAACAGUACGUGAAAUUGUCAAAAGGGAAGCGUUUGACACCAGUGUUGUUUUCUCGAAAAUCAAUUAAAAAUGGCGGGAUUUUGUGUUGUAUUGACUUUAUCAGCUUUCUGCACUUUUUUCUUGUCUUUUUUAAUGCACUUUUCGUUUAACAAGUCAACAUCAAUUUCUUUUGUUGUAAAAGGGUCAUUGGAAGGUGGCUUUCUUUUCGGAGAAAGUGUUUAUAGCCUUUGGCCUCUGCAAUCGGAGAGAUUGAGGUCUGCAGGCGUAGAUCCUUCGGGGUUAGAUAGCAUUUGUGCUAAGUUAUAGCCUUUUCAUAGACAACUUGUUGACUAUGAUCAGUCAUGUAGCUUACUCGCUUAUGCUAUUUUACCUACGCUUAGGAUGUUGACGAUCAGCUGAGCGCG